UAAAAUUUAAAAUUAAAAUACUAAAAUAGUAUAUAAUUAUUUAUUAAAACUUAAAUAAUUUGGCGGUAUUUUAGUUCAUUUAGAGGAAUCUGUUUAAUAAUUGAUAUUCCACGAAUAAAUUUACUUAAUUUAUAAUUUUGUAUAUCGUUGUUAUAAAAAUAUUUUUUAAUAAAAUUAAUAUUUAAAAAUUAUUAUAAAAAUUUAAAUCAGAUCAAGAUGCAGAUUAUAAUUAAGAAUAUAAUGGAUUACAAUAAAAUUAUUUAAAUGAAUAUUAAUUUGUAAAAAUUAAUUGAAAGUGGAUUUAAAUGUAAUUUUUUUUAAUUUAAUAAAAUGAUUAAAAAUUAAAAUAUGU
This 352-nucleotide ribosomal RNA is filed under the name Acrapex zima. RNAcentral describes it as "partial 12S small subunit ribosomal RNA". Lineage: Eukaryota; Metazoa; Arthropoda; Insecta; Lepidoptera; Noctuidae. The record is from RNAcentral.